This 488-nucleotide ribosomal RNA is filed under the name uncultured bacterium. RNAcentral describes it as "bacterial SSU rRNA". It matches the Rfam family "Bacterial small subunit ribosomal RNA", at positions 29 to 496 of the family's 1533-position model. The record is from RNAcentral.
AUUGAACGCUGGCGGCGCGCUUAACACAUGCAAGUCGAGCGAGAAAGGGCUUCGGCCCCAGUACAGCGGCGCACGGGUGAGUAACACGUGGGUAAUCUACCCCUGAGUGGUGGAUAACCCUCCGAAAGGAGGGCUAAUACAGCAUAAGACCACGGCGUCCUCGGAUGUCGCGGCCAAAGCGGGCCUCUUCAUGAAAGCUCGUGCUCGGGGAUGAGCCCGCGGCCCAUCAGCUUGUUGGCGAGGUAAAAGCUCACCAAGGCAAAGACGGGUAGCUGGUCUGAGAGGAUGAACAGCCACACUGGAACUGAGACACGGUCCAGACUCCUACGGGAGGCAGCAGUGGGGAAUCUUGCGCAAUGGGCGAAAGCCUGACGCAGCGACGCCGCGUGAGCGAUGAAGGCCCUCGGGUCGUAAAGCUCUGUGGGGAGGAAAGAAUAAGGGUAGGUUAAUAUCCUGCCUGAUGACGGUACCUCCUUAGCAAGCACCGG